AUUCCAGCUCCAAUAGCGUAUAUUAAAGUUGUUGCAGUUAAAAAGCUCGUAGUUGGAUUUGUGGUGUACUUCGGCGGCCCGUCACUAUGUGAUGGAGCUUGCUGAAGUCGCCAUCCUUGGGUGGAUCCUGUGUGGCAUUAAGUUGUCGUGCAGGGGAUGCCCAUCGUUUACUGUGAAAAAAUUAGAGUGUUCAAAGCAGGCUUAUGCCGUUGAAUAUAUUAGCAUGGAAUAAUAAGAUAGGACCUUGGUACUAUUUUGUUGGUUUGCGCACCAAGGUAAUGAUUAAUAGGGACAGUUGGGGGUAUUCGUAUUUCAUUGUCAGAGGUGAAAUUCUUGGAUUUUUGAAAGACGAACUUCUGCGAAAGCAUUUACCAAGGAUGUUUUCAUCA
This 389-nucleotide ribosomal RNA is filed under the name Cylindrotheca sp. RNAcentral's name for it is "partial small subunit ribosomal RNA". It matches the Rfam family "Eukaryotic small subunit ribosomal RNA", at positions 582 to 975 of the family's 1831-position model. Lineage: Eukaryota; Bacillariophyta; Bacillariophyceae; Bacillariales; Bacillariaceae. The record is from RNAcentral.